This 255-nucleotide ribosomal RNA is filed under the name uncultured bacterium. RNAcentral's name for it is "partial 16S ribosomal RNA". It matches the Rfam family "Bacterial small subunit ribosomal RNA", at positions 524 to 776 of the family's 1533-position model. The record is from RNAcentral.
GACAGAGGGUGCAAACGUUGUUCGGAAUUACUGGGCGUAAAGCGUGCGCAGGCGGUUUGCUAAGACAGGUGUGAAAUCCCCGGGCUUAACCUCGGGAACUGCGCUUGUAACUGGCAAGCUAGAAUGUGGCAGAGGGGGGUGGAAGUUCCAGGUGUAGCAGUGAAAUGCGUAGAGAUCUGGAGGAACACCGAUGGCGAAGGCAGCCCCCUGGGCUAACACUGACGCUCAUGCACGAAAGCGUGGGGAGCAAACAGG